UACGUAGGGGGCGAGCGUUGUCCGGAUUUAUUGGGCGUAAAGAGCGUGUAGGCGGCCAGGUAGGUCUGCUGUGAAAACUCGAGGCUCAACCUCGAGACGUCGGCGGAAACCAUCUGGCUAGAGUCCGGAAGAGGAGACUGGAAUUCCUGGUGUAGCAGUGAAAUGCGUAGAUAUCAGGAGGAACACCGAUGGCGAAGGCAGGUCUCUGGGCUGACACUGACGCUGAGGCUCGAAAGCGUGGGGAGCAAACAGG
Molecule: ribosomal RNA, 253 nt
Filed under: uncultured bacterium
Lineage: Bacteria
Description: partial 16S ribosomal RNA
Rfam family: Bacterial small subunit ribosomal RNA
Source: RNAcentral